RNAcentral lists this ribosomal RNA (724 nucleotides) under marine Bacteroidetes bacterium RS.Sph.009. RNAcentral's name for it is "bacterial SSU rRNA". It matches the Rfam family "Bacterial small subunit ribosomal RNA", at positions 30 to 744 of the family's 1533-position model. Lineage: Bacteria; Pseudomonadati; Bacteroidota. The record is from RNAcentral.
GGAACGCCUAGCGGCAGGCUUAACACAUGUCAAGUCCGAACGGUAACAGAUCUAGCUUGCUAGAUGCUGACGAGUGGCGCACGGGUGCGCAACGCGUAUGCAACCUACCUCUAACAGGGGGAUAGCCCGGAGAAAUUCGGAUUAAUACCUCAUAAUAUAUAGUUACUGCAUGGUAAUUAUAUUAAAACUACGGUGGUUAGAGAUGGGCAUGCGUGACAUUAGCUAGUUGGUAAGGUAACGGCUUACCAAGGCAACGAUGUCUAGGGGGUCUGAGAGGAUUAUCCCCCACACUGGUACUGAGACACGGACCAGACUCCUACGGGAGGCAGCAGUGAGGAAUAUUGGUCAAUGGACGGAAGUCUGAACCAGCGAUGCCGCGUGCAGGAAGACGGCCCUACGGGUUGUAAACUGCUUUUAUAUAGGAAUAAACCUAUCCUCGUGAGGGUAGCUGAAUGUACUAUACGAAUAAGCACCGGCUAACUCCGUGCCAGCAGCCGCGGUAAUACGGAGGGUGCAAGCGUUAUCCGGAUUUAUUGGGUUUAAAGGGUGCGUAGGCGGAUUGAUAAGUCAGUGGUGAAAUCUUCCAGCUCAACUGGGAAACUGCCAUUGAUACUGUCGAUCUUGAAUUAGUUGAAGUAGGCGGAAUGAGGCAUGUAGCGGUGAAAUGCAUAGAUAUGCCUCAGAACACCGAUUGCGAAGGCAGCUUACUAAGCCUAUAAUUGAC